This 502-nucleotide ribosomal RNA is filed under the name uncultured bacterium. RNAcentral describes it as "bacterial SSU rRNA". It matches the Rfam family "Bacterial small subunit ribosomal RNA", at positions 1 to 507 of the family's 1533-position model. The record is from RNAcentral.
AUAUCGACGAGUUUGAUCAUGGCUCAGAUUGAACGCUGGCGGCAGGCCAAACACAUGCAAGUCGAGCGGAUGAAAGGGGCUUGCUCCUGGAUUCAGCGGCGGACGGGUGAGUAAUGCGCAGGAAUCUACCUAGUAGUGGGGGGAUAACGUUUCGAAAGGAACGCUAAUACCGCAUACGUUCUGAGGAAGAAAGCAGGGGAUCGUAAGACCUUGCGCUAUUAGAUGAGCUUGUGUCCGAUUAGCUAGUUGGUGGGGUAAAGGCCUACCAAGGCGACGAUCGGUAACUGGUCUGAGAGGAUGAUCAGUCACACUGGAACUGAGACACGGUCCAGACUCCUACGGGAGGCAGCAGUGGGGAAUAUUGCGCAAUGGGCGAAAGCCUGACGCAGCGACGCCGCGUGGGGGAUGAAGGUUUUCGGAUUGUAAACCCCUUUCAUGAGGAAAGAUAAAGUGGGUAACCACUUAGACGGUACCUCAAGAAGAAGCCACGGCUAACUUCGUG